CAGCAAUGGAUCUCUUGGCUCUCGCAUCGAUGAAGAACGCAGCGAAUCGCGAUAAGUAAUGUGAAUUGCAGAUUUUCCGUGAAUCAUCGAAUCUUUGAACGCACCUUGCGCUCCUCGGUAUUCCGUGGAGCAUGCCUGUUUGAGUGU
RNAcentral lists this ribosomal RNA (147 nucleotides) under uncultured ectomycorrhiza (Basidiomycota). RNAcentral describes it as "5.8S ribosomal RNA". It matches the Rfam family "5.8S ribosomal RNA". Rfam says of the family: 5.8S ribosomal RNA (5.8S rRNA) is a component of the large subunit of the eukaryotic ribosome. Lineage: Eukaryota; Fungi; Basidiomycota. The record is from RNAcentral.